This 497-nucleotide ribosomal RNA is filed under the name uncultured bacterium. Its description in RNAcentral is "partial 16S ribosomal RNA". It matches the Rfam family "Bacterial small subunit ribosomal RNA", at positions 28 to 507 of the family's 1533-position model. The record is from RNAcentral.
GAUGAACGCUGGCGGCGUGCCUAAUACAUGCAAGUCGAGCGAACAGACGAGGAGCUUGCUCCUCUGACGUUAGCGGCGGACGGAUGAGUAACACGUGGAUAACCUACCUAUAAGACUGGGAUAACUUCGGGAAACCGGAGCUAAUACCGGAUAAUAUAGUGAACCGCAUGGUUCAAUAGUGAAAGGCGGUUUUGCUGUCACUGAUAGAUGGGGCCGCGCCGCAUUAGCUAGUUUGUAAGGUAACGGCUUACCAAGGCAACGCUGCGUAGCCGAUCUGAGAGGGUGAUCAGCCCCCCUGGAACUGAGACACGGUCCAGACUCCUACGGGAGGCAGCAGUGGGGAAUCUUCCGCAAUGGGCGAAAGCCUGACGCAGCAACGCCGCGUGAGUGAUGAAGGUCUUCGGAUCGUAAAACUCUGUUAUUAGGGAAGAACAACUGUGUACGUACCUCUGCACGUCUUGACGGUACCUAAACAGAAAGCACCGGCUAACUACGUG